GAUGAACGCUGGCGGCGUGCCUAAUACAUGCAAGUCGAGCGAACGGACGAGAAGCUUGCUUUUCUGAUGUUAGCGGCGGACGGGUGGGUCAUACGUGGAUAACCUACCUCUAAGACUGGACUAACUUCGGGAAACCGGAGCUAAUACCGGAUAAUCCUUUGAACCGCAUGGUUCAAGAGUGAUAGACGGUCUUGCUGUCACUUAUAGAUGGAUCCGCGCUGCAUUAGCGAGUUGGUAAGGUAACGGCUUGCCAAGGCAACGAUGCAUAGCCGACGUGAGAGGGUGAUCGCCCACAGUGGGGGUGAGAGGCGGUCCAGGGACCUAGAGAAGGCACAGACACGGAAGGGUCCGCAAAGGGCGGAAGCCUGACGGAGCAGCGCCGGGUGGGUGAUGAAGGUCUGCGGAUCGUAAGACUCUGUUAUUAGGGAAGAACAUAUGUGUAAAUAACUGAGCACAGCGUGACGGUACUGGAUAAGAAAGCCACGGCUAACUACGUG
RNAcentral lists this ribosomal RNA (497 nucleotides) under uncultured bacterium. RNAcentral describes it as "partial 16S ribosomal RNA". It matches the Rfam family "Bacterial small subunit ribosomal RNA", at positions 28 to 507 of the family's 1533-position model. The record is from RNAcentral.